CCUACGGGUGACAGCAGUGGGGAAUAUUGGGCAAUGGAGGAAACUCUGACCCAGCAACGCCGCGUGAAUGAUGAAGGUCUUCGGAUUGUAAAGUUCUUUUCUAAGGGAAGAAGAUAGUGACGGUUCCUUAGGAAUCAGCCUCUGCUAACUACGUGCCAGCAGCCGCGGUACUACGUAGGCGGCGAUCGUUAUCCGGAAGUACUGGGCGUAAAGGGUGCGUAGGUGGUUUGGCAAGGUAGUAGCGAAACUCCAAGGCUCAACCUUGGAACUACUACUAAAACUGUUGGGCUUGAGUGCAGGAGGGGCAACCGGAAUUCCUAGUGUAGCGGUGGAAUGCGUAGAUAUUAGGAGGAACACCAGUGGCGAAGGCGGGUUGCUAGACUGUAACUGACACUGAGGCACGAAAGCGUGGGGAGCAAACAGGAUUAGAUACCCUGGUAGUC
This 443-nucleotide ribosomal RNA is filed under the name uncultured bacterium. RNAcentral's name for it is "partial 16S ribosomal RNA". It matches the Rfam family "Bacterial small subunit ribosomal RNA", at positions 338 to 795 of the family's 1533-position model. The record is from RNAcentral.